GAUCCUGGCUCAGGACGAACGCUGGCGGCGUGCUUAACACAUGCAAGUCGAACGCUGAAGGCCCAGCUUGCUGGGUUGGAUGAGUGGCGAACGGGUGAGUAACACGUGAGUAACCUGCCCCCUUCUUUGGGAUAACGGUCGGAAACGGCUGCUAAUACCGGGUAUUCACUGUCCUUCGCAUGGGGGUGGUGGAAGGUUUUUCUUGGUGGGGGAGUGGGCUCGCGGCCUAUCAGCUUGUUGGUGGGUGAUGGCUU
Molecule: ribosomal RNA, 254 nt
Filed under: uncultured bacterium
Lineage: Bacteria
Description: partial 16S ribosomal RNA
Rfam family: Bacterial small subunit ribosomal RNA
Source: RNAcentral